UGGGUUUUCCCUCCACUUCUAGGUUAGUGUAAUCAUUUUGUUCCUUCUCUUUUUCUUCUUUGUUGGGCAUUUUGAGGUGGUUGCUAUUUCUCUGAGGUCUGGGUAAAUAGAUUUCAACUUUUUGUGUGCAAUGAUCUCAUUUUCUAGGGGUCAAGGUGAGGUAGGUGGGCAGUGGCUGGAUGUGGCCCCUCACCUGUGCUUCGUUAAAGCCUGAGCAGGGCAUAGAGUGGCUGCAGCUGCUUUCCUCCUCUGCCUGCGUAUGGGAUGAGAAAUGAAAACCAGUACUUCUGUUUCUGGCUGCUUGACUCCCCAUUUCCAUAGCUUUGGCUUGUAGCAGGCUUGUGGUUGCCACGAUCAUGAAGACUUGCUGACGAGAAUCUCCUGGGAGCAGCAAGAGCCUCUGAAGAAACAAUAUUUGGAUGGGAAACUUAUGUCCUCCAAGCUGGCGAGUUGCAACACUGACACAGAUUUUUCUUGUCGCUGCAAAACUCUUCCUGUAAAAGAUGUCCCUGAGGAUUUGAAGAACAGUGAUUUGAAGUGAUUGCAUUGGCCACAGAACACCUGAGCAAGCAGAGCCCUGGGCAGCAGCAAGCACUGCCUUCCCUCCAUGGAAGAUGCAGGAGGGCACCUGGAAGCCCCAUAAUACCAUUCGGUCUGUUAUCCAUGUGCUGCAAAUGAAUGGAAAGAGGUAAACUUUGCAGAAUGGUGUGACUCCCACCUUUCCCAGCCACUCGUUCUCCCUGAAAGCUCUCGUAAAGCAAGUGGCUUCUCAAGAAGCACACACAAUUUUGUGCUAUUUCGAAGCAAUCAGACUGAGCUGCAUGAGGUAAUCCUCCCAGAGUGAAUCGUGUUCAAUGAGACUCUGAUGUUUGCUAUUACCCUACUUGAUCCCACCUGUUGAUACAGUAACAUGGUAGAAAGUUUGGGCUCUCUCCAGGUGACUGAAACACUGGGACCAUGAUGGGGGGUGUUGCAAUCUCCUUUGCUGACUGGGACAGCAAAGGAGUUUGUAGUCAGCAGGCAUCGAUCUGAUCCUCGGGUGAGUUCAACCCUUUCAAAUCUGCUAAGGUGGAUUUGCUUUUCUUUUGAAGAGAAUCUAUUAGGCACAAAAGAAGCAAACACAAAGCCAUUGUUAAGUGCCAGGAAGGAAGGGAUGUUUGCACAGUGCGUGGCCUGGCUGAGGUUUUAUCCUUCUUGCUCAAGUCCUUGAAUUAUCUCAAAAAUGAACAGAGCAGAAAAGGCAUUGUUCUGCUCUUUAAAAGCAGUGCAACAAUAUUUCCAACUGUGAGGCUUGGACAGAAACAUCUGAUGAGUUAAAAAUACAACAAACCAAAAACAAAGGGAAAGGCAAUGUCUCCAGUGGAACUAGCUGUGCUACCACCUGGAAAUGUUGGAUACACCUGUAAAGGCUCCAGGAAUUCACAGGACACAAAGGUAAAACGUGUGUGUGCUGUUUGCACUAGGAAUAGAAAACUCAAGGCAAAUUACAGGGAGAGAGCUGUAACCAAUCCCAUACUGCCUGGGGCAGUGCAGCUGAGAGCUGGUUGUGCCUUGGGGUCAUCCCAGACUGCUGCAGCAAUGGGAACGGUCUCAUCUCUUCGCCAAAACAAGUGGCAGAGAGCUGAGGAACACUAUCCACAUUGUUUUAAUGAGAAAGUUCCCCAUGGCUGGUGCUGGAGGAAGGUCCUGCAGCCACACACUGUGCUUUGUUUCAGCUCCCUUCCUAUUCACCUUCUGCACCUCCACGGCUCUUCAGCUGCUGUUUUAUUUCUGGUUUCUAAUGCAAGAGACUGGUUCUCACCAUUCCUGAUGCGCACUGCUGGCUGCUGACCUGUUCUUGCUUAGUCUCCCCAAAGCAUUAGGGGGUGGACUGUAGUCUGGCAGAGUCUGCUCCUCCACCUGCUUCUGAGCUGGGAGGUGAAGGGCUGCAGAGGAUGAGAGUUGUUUUCUGAAAGUUAGAAAAAAACCAAGCCAUCUUUUCAGAUCCAUACAUGCAUCUUCCUUUUCUAUUUCCUCAGUCCUUCAGGUGCAUUUUGAACCCCUAAUGCUAACACAGCAAGUAAAACACAUGGGACGCAGCCUUGCUGACCCCGAAUCAGCAGCCCAAUACAAUUAGGAGGCAUAAACACAUGGUCAGCCAAGGAGUGAAGCAAAGAACCACACGUGGGGGCAUCUUGGAAGACACAAAUGAAGUUCCCUGCCGUGCUUUGGCCAAACACACCACCUCUGUUUGGUGUCUGUGCUGGGAGUGAACAAAGGCAGCUGCAACCUGGACAUCGGUAGUACAUGGGGACACGUAGGAGCAUUUUUCAAGAUGGGAAAAAAAAGAAACAGCCUGUAAAUACUUGUAACCCCGGGGCAACAGAACAUAUAUCCUGGCAACGCGUGUGGGUUUUACUCUUCCAUGACAAUUUGCUUUGCUAUUCAUGAAAAAAUAUGUUGGUGCUGUUACCUUAGCAACUGCCGCAUCACGUUACGGUGAUGCUCUGCCCGAGGUGUGUGGAGCCCUGCCUUAAAGGAGCACGUCUGUCUCUCCUGUGCCUCUCCCCGUGGAAAUGGAGCCCAGCUGAGCUGGGAUCCUCACCAGGGAAGCCUCAGAAGUUGGUAAUGGAGCAGGAGAAAGUGUGUUCAUUUAGAGGUACUGUUUGGAGCUGUGUCUGAUAGUGGCCCAGAGCCACUUUGGACGAUAUGCUGUAUAAACUUGCAGCAAAAAGGAGCUAUUCUCCCAAAAUAUUUCACUUUUUAAGAAGAGAAAAAGGGCAAUGAGCAGACACUGGCAGGCUGGAUGUAUGGCGUGGAGCAUCUUUGUCCAGAUGUUUCCACCCAUAGUGUCCAUAUUAGCAUCUUCCACCAGAGUGGGCCAAUUUCCCAAGAAACAACAGUUUUUGCCUUCCUUUGUGUUGACUUCAAUAGAGAAAUUCAGCCCCCGUUGCUGUAGCUGGAAUCCCUAGGCAAUUCCUACAGAAAGAUACGGUUAAAAUCUAUCACAUGGUGACAUUUCACCUGUAAUGUCUGGAGGAGCCAGGAAGCUUCUUUGAGAAAGGCUCUUGGCUCUGAGUUUACUGUGCCAAGCAAUGGAAGAGCUCCGUGCCUUCAGCUGAGUUCUUUCACAGUCUGAUUACCCUCCCCCUGAGGGAACGGAGCUCCAUUUUCUAAUUGGAAUUUUUCCAACUUCCACUCCACACCGUGGACUAUCACUUCGCCUUUGUUAUCAGAUAAAAGAUCCUUCACGUGCAG
Molecule: long non-coding RNA, 3237 nt
Organism: Gallus gallus (chicken)
Lineage: Eukaryota; Metazoa; Chordata; Aves; Galliformes; Phasianidae
Source: Ensembl